AGCCAGCACAGCUUCAGUUACAAUUAUGCAGCAUAAUUCCCUGCGAUAGAAGGGUAGUGACAAUAAUAAAUUCAAAUGCAUUCAGAUAAAUAAUUUUAAAGCAAAUGCACAUUGCUGGAGGAUAUUCACCAAGCAGACAAAAAAAAAAAAAAAAAAAAAAAAAAAAAAAAAAAAAAAAAAAAAAAAAAAAAAAAAAAAAAAAGCCCAGUAGCCUAAUAUGUUAUUUCUUGGGAAUAGUUCUUUCUGCCCUCAGGCUGAUAUAUUCUUUGGGAACACUUUAAUGCAGUUCCUAUAAUUAGUGAGUACUUCACAAUCACCUUCCAGAGAAUUAUAUCUUUCUGUAACACUCUCUGCGUGUGCUUUGAAGGCAUCGAAGCAUACAAGGUUCUUGUCUCAGCAGAAGAAAGGCUGCAGGGCAGAACCGGGGCAGGGGGCUUUACAGCGUUGCCAGGAGGCACCAGCUCGGUUUCCCUGCAGCAGGCACAUCUCUCCUCUUUGAGAAACACUGCAUCCUUUGUUUGGGACUUGGAGGAGCUGCAUGAUUCAGGAACAGGAAGAGCCGGGACAGAUAGACUGGGACCCUCCAGGGUACUGAGGAAACUCCAAAGAAGUACAAUGUGUCCAGUGUUGUGUCCUGGUUUGGCUUCAAGAACUGUUAGGCUUGACUAA
RNAcentral lists this long non-coding RNA (669 nucleotides) under Junco hyemalis (dark-eyed junco). Its description in RNAcentral is "lncRNA (ENSJHYG00000013678.1)". Lineage: Eukaryota; Metazoa; Chordata; Aves; Passeriformes; Passerellidae. The record is from RNAcentral.